GUCCUUGCGGCCGAAGAGGGCGCCACAAACGGCCCCCCUUCCAGGCUCCCUUGGGACACGGAACCGGCUCAGAGCAAGGAGAAAGCUUUUUACAGACGAGGAAGGCUGUGGAGACAGGACGGAGGAUGCAGCCGCUGUGGCCGCUGCGGAGGGAGCUGUCCUUCUGUGGCUCCCAGUCCCGACCCGCUCCGCCCUCCGGAGCCGUCGCUGGGGCUCAGCCUGGGCCCAGCCCGGGAACUCAGCCACCACCAAACCUUUGUUCUACUCCUUGGCUUUUUUUUCCCCCUUCCUGGAAUCCGGAGCCUGGCAACAGCACGAAGCCCUUAGCAGGUGACUUGUCAAAGGCACCGCAAAACCCGGGGUGGCAUCCUGGAGACCUGCCAGGUAGCAGCUGCAUCUCCAUCUUUCACUUGUUGAAAGAAGACACGUUCUUAAGGACAAAGUUACCAAAUGCAAAGGAAAUUGUUUAAGAAAACCACAUCCAACAACUGCGUCCGUGUAAGCCUAGUGUUUUCUAAAUCCAUUAUAAUUUCUUUUCGUCAAAUGUUUGAUCCCUUUUCAGUGGUUUCAGGAACCCUUCAACAUUAGACUGGGGAUAAUAAUCAGGGAACAAUCCAUUUUUUUAAUGGGCAAAGAUCUGAAUAGAUACUCCGCCCAGGAAGAUGGAGAUGGCAGAUAAAGAUGGGACUCAAAUCAAAGCAGGGAAUGAGCCCAGCCCGGACCCGAGAGAACAGGUAGACGUCAAAGAGUGGCCACACCAAGUUCUGGCCGGGGCGUGUGGACUCUGCCUGUGGCUGUCGAGGAUGUGAAAGGUGCAGCCACUUCAGAAACCAGCUUCAUCCCUUAAUAAGCUGAACCUCCAUUUAGCAC
This 870-nucleotide long non-coding RNA is filed under the name Sus scrofa (pig). RNAcentral's name for it is "lncRNA (ENSSSCG00050002683.1)". Lineage: Eukaryota; Metazoa; Chordata; Mammalia; Artiodactyla; Suidae. The record is from RNAcentral.